ACAUUCAAGUCGAACGGGCAGUAUUCCUUCGGGGGUGCUGCUAGUGGCGGACGGGUGAGUAACGCGUGAGCAACCUGCCUCUGUGAGUGGAAUAACACAGGGAAACUUGUGCUAAUACCGCAUGACGAAGCGAAGCCGCAUGACUUUGCUUCCAAAGAUUUAUCGCACAGAGAUGGGCUCGCGUCCGAUUAGGCAGUUGGUGAGGUAACGGCUCACCAAACCGACGAUCGGUAGCCGGACUGAGAGGUUGAACGGCCACAUUGGAACUGAGAUACGGUCCAGACUCCUACGGGAGGCAGCAGUGGGGAAUAUUGGGCAAUGGGCGCAAGCCUGACCCAGCGACGCCGCGUGAGGGAAGAAGGUCUUCGGAUUGUAAACCUCUUUGACAGGGGACGAAGUAAGUGACGGUACCCUGAAAACAAGCCACGGCUAACUACGUGCCAGCCGCUGC
RNAcentral lists this ribosomal RNA (451 nucleotides) under uncultured bacterium. RNAcentral's name for it is "bacterial SSU rRNA". It matches the Rfam family "Bacterial small subunit ribosomal RNA", at positions 53 to 518 of the family's 1533-position model. The record is from RNAcentral.